This 485-nucleotide ribosomal RNA is filed under the name uncultured bacterium. RNAcentral describes it as "bacterial SSU rRNA". It matches the Rfam family "Bacterial small subunit ribosomal RNA", at positions 28 to 507 of the family's 1533-position model. The record is from RNAcentral.
GAUGAACGCUAGCGGCAGGCCUAACACAUGCAAGUCAGGGGUAACAUGAAAAGCUUGCUUUUCUGAUGACGACCGGCGCACGGGUGCGUAACGCGUAUACAACCUACCUUUUAGCGGGGAAUAGCCCAGGGAAACUUGGAUUAAUGCCUCAUAGUAUAUAAGCUUCUCCUGAAGUUUAUAUUAAACAUUUAUGGCUAUUAGAUGGGUAUGCGUCCUAUUAGUUAGUUGGUAAGGUAACGGCUUACCAAGGCAGCGAUAGGUAGGGGUCCUGAGAGGGAGAUCCCCACACUGGUACUGAGACACGGACCAGACUCCUACGGGAGGCAGCAGUGAGGAAUAUUGGACAAUGGGCGAGAGCCUGAUCCAGCCAUGCCGCGUGCAGGAAGACUGCCCUAUGGGUUGUAAACUGCUUUUACAGAGGAAGAACCACCCCCACGUGUGGGGGUUUGACGGUACUCUGCGAAUAAGGAUCGGCUAACUCCGUG